AUUGAACGCUGGCGGCAGGCUUAACACAUGCAAGUCGAGCGAGCGGCGGACGGGUGAGUAAUGUCUGGGAAACUGCCUGAUGGAGGGGGUUAACUACUGGAAACGGUAGCUAAUCCCGCAUACCAUCAGAUGUGCCCCGCUGGGAUUAGCUAGUAGGUGGGGUAAUGGUUCACCUAGGCGACGAUCCCUAGCUGGUCUGAGAGGAUGACCAGGCACACUGGAACUGAGAGACGGUCCAGAGUCCGACGGGAGGCAGCAGGGGGGAAUAUGGCACAAUGGGCGCAAGCCUGAUGCAGCGAUGCCGCGUGUGUGAAGAGGGCCUUCAGGUUGUAAAGCAGUUUCAGCGAGGAGGCGUUACUCGCAGAAGAAGCACCGGCUAACUCCGUGCCAGCAGCCGCGGUAAUUC
RNAcentral lists this ribosomal RNA (406 nucleotides) under uncultured bacterium. Its description in RNAcentral is "partial 16S ribosomal RNA". It matches the Rfam family "Bacterial small subunit ribosomal RNA", at positions 30 to 526 of the family's 1533-position model. The record is from RNAcentral.